Molecule: transfer RNA, 93 nt
Filed under: Kibdelosporangium phytohabitans
Lineage: Bacteria; Bacillati; Actinomycetota; Actinomycetes; Pseudonocardiales; Pseudonocardiaceae
Description: tRNA-Ala
Source: RNAcentral
GUGGCCGCCCGUUGGGGCACCCAGGCGUGCCGAAUAUGCGUCGCUAUCACACUGGCAGUGUGGGGGUCAGGGGUUCGAAUCCCCUCAGCUCCA